CAGCAGGUGGAGGAACAAAUUGUGGUACACCCGUCUUCUUUUGAUGACCCAAUUGAUUUCACAUCACCUUCUGUACUUUCUCCAGUUCCCCAAGUAUCUUCUGCCAUUGAGGCCAGAUCUGCCCAUCUAUACACUAUCAGGAGAAACUGGAGGCUUCUAUUUUUCAUGUUCACCCUGUUGAGAGAACCCACAGUCUGAAACCUGGUGCAGGCAGGACCACCCCUUCGCUCCGUUGUCAAGGUCCAGAUGUCCCUGGUGUCCAACAGGGCUUGACUACAGCAGGCACUUAAUAUGUGCUAACUCCGUGCAUCCCCCCUCCUUUUUCCUAAGUGGAUUAUGCAUCUGCUCCUCAGGACUGAUCUUCAACCUGUCAGCUACUCCCCAGCAUCAUCCAAACUGCUCUGAAAACCACCUUUCCAAAAUGCAGAGCCAGCAGUGUCACUGCCCCACUCAAAAUGCUCUCAACAGCUCCCCACUGCCU
Molecule: unclassified non-coding RNA, 481 nt
Filed under: Homo sapiens (human)
Lineage: Eukaryota; Metazoa; Chordata; Mammalia; Primates; Hominidae
Description: partial NAMA
Source: RNAcentral